RNAcentral lists this ribosomal RNA (1224 nucleotides) under metagenome. RNAcentral describes it as "SSU rRNA". It matches the Rfam family "Eukaryotic small subunit ribosomal RNA", at positions 533 to 1774 of the family's 1831-position model. The record is from RNAcentral.
CUUAACGAGGAUCUAUUGGAGGGCAAGUCUGGUGCCAGCAGCCGCGGUAACACCAGCUCCAAUAGCGUAUAUUAAAGCUGUUGCAGUUAAAAAGCUCGUAGUUGGAUUUCGGUUACGGAGGAUCUGGCUCGCGCCUUCGGGUGCGACGCCGGUAUUUUCCGGCCUACCUUCGUGGAGGAUGCCUCAGCUCUUCAUUGAGUUUUGGGGUGUAAUCCCGAUCAAUUACUUUGAAGAAAUUAGAGUGUUCAAAGCAGGCUAACGCUGUGAAUACAUUAGCAUGGAAUAAUAAAAUAGGACUUUGGUUCUAUUUUGUUGGUUUUAAGGACUAAAGUAAUGAUUGAUAGGGAUCGUUGGGGGUGCUCGUAUUCAACGGCCAGAGGUGAAAUUCUGUGAUUCGUUGAAGACGAACUUAUGCGAAAGCAUUCACCAAGGAGGUCUUCUUUAAUCAAGAACGAAAGUCGGGGGAUCGAAGACGAUCAGAUACCGUCGUAGUCUCAACCAUAAACUAUGCCAACCGGGGAUUGGUGGACGUUGAAUAUUGACUCCAUCAGGACCCUUCGGGAAACCUUUGAGUCUUUGGGUUCCGGGGGGAGUAUGGUCGCAAGGCUGAAACUUAAAGGAAUUGACGGAAGGGCACCACCAGGAGUGGAGCCUGCGGCUUAAUUUGACCCAACACGGGAAAACUUACCAGGUCCAGGCAUGGUUAGGAUUGACAGAUUGAAGUUCUUUCUUGAUUCCAUGGGUGGUGGUGCAUGGCCGUUCUUAGUUGGUGGAGUGAUUUGUCUGGUUAAUUCCGUUAACGAACGAGACCUCAGCCUGCUAACUAGUGGCUCGAAAUCUCGAUUUCGCAGCAACUUCUUAGAGGGACAGUCGGUUUUGAAACCGAAGGAAGUUUGAGGCAAUAACAGGUCUGUGAUGCCCUUAGAUGUUCUGGGCCGCACGCGCGCUACACUGGCGGAUGCAGCGAGUUUACAACCUUGGCCGGUAGGUCUGGGUAAUCUUUGAAAGUCCGCCGUGAUGGGGCUAAAUUAUUGCAAUUAUUAAUCUUCAACGAGGAAUUCCUAGUAAUCGCAAGUCAUCAGCUUGCAAUGAUUACGUCCCUGCCCUUUGUACACACCGCCCGUCGCUCCUACCGAUUGAAUGAUGAGGUGAAAUCUCGGGACUGUGGCAAGCCAGAGGUUCGCUUCUGGCGAGCUAUGGGAACUUGAGUAAACCUUAUCAUUU